Molecule: long non-coding RNA, 149 nt
Organism: Xiphophorus couchianus (Monterrey platyfish)
Lineage: Eukaryota; Metazoa; Chordata; Actinopteri; Cyprinodontiformes; Poeciliidae
Exons: 5
Source: RefSeq, a predicted model, not a curated record
GCCAUUUUUUCUCUGUGUCUGUUUCCUUCACACAUCACAAGCACAAUGGCAUCUGGAGUGCAAGUUGAAGACCACGUGAAGGACAUCAUCAAUGAAAUGACAGUGGUGAACAGCGAAAGAUCAGAAGAGUGUAGUGUAGGGAAUGAGUG